ACAUUUUAUUCACUUUAUGUAAUUUGGUUACUUAGUUGAAUAUUACUGAGUGAUGUGCAAAAAGAGACUUCAUGUAAUGACUAAAAUUACUGUAUUUAUUAAAUGAACUCUGGGAAGACCGUCUAGACCAAUGGCAGCAAGUUUCCUCAGCCUCAUCAUUUCUGCUGUUUUACAGGUUUAUUACCUUUCCACAUGCCCUGUGCCUGGGGCUUGUAAGACAUAUAAGCUGGCUUGCCAACCGGCAAUAAAAGAAUAGCAGAAACAACAGCAAAAAGCUUUCGCCGUGGAAGAUACCGUCGCUAAGGAGAAGGAAUUGAGGAGGACUCUUCAACCGAUGAGGCUCGUCUUGGAAGACGGGGAAAUCCAGAGACCUGGAACGUGAAGGUCCAGAAAAGUAUGUCCAUGCCAGUCUGCAACCUGCUAAAGGUUCACUAAACUCUACUGCAGAAAAGCAGAAGACACAUCAUAAGAACAAGAUUUCUAAGUAUUUCUGGGGGAAUUUGGACUGGAGAAAUGAUUGUGAAGUCUGUGGUGGAGGGGAGCACUGUAAAGCGGCGGCGGACAGGAGCAGAUGAAUCCAGAAGAAAGACCAGUGUGAUGCCUACUGUUCUUUCAAGCCUGGAAACAUCGAAGCAGCUUCAUGGGACACAAAGCCUGCGAAGCAGAAGGACAAAGACGAUGCAGAUGAGAAGACCUUGUUGGCGCUCACUCCAAUUCCAGGCCAUACCGUGUGAGGUACGUAUCUUCAAGGACUUCUGCCAGAUGGGGAACUGGGAAAAAGCUGGGGAUCCAACAUUGCAUGACCUCCAAACAAUCAGGUAUUUUAUCAGACAUAUACAUUCUUGCACAAAUAUUGCCUUCUAUGUCAAUAGAAAUCAGUUGUGAAAAGUACCCAAGUACAUGCGCCCAAUUACUCUUCUUUUUGAAGUACUACUCCACUACAUUUAUUUUGAUGGCUUUAGUGACUAGUUACUCUGCAGAUUAUAAAUUAAAAACAUAUUCAAAAACUAGAGUAUUUUCACAGAUAAAGCCACACAGCAAAAUAUAAAGUAGUUAGAAUUAGCUUUACUUUUCAUCUUAAAAUUUGAAUGUAGGACUUUUGACAUACAGAAUAUCUCUACAGUUUGGUGUUGGAACAUUUACCUAAGGUCUGACUACUUUUUCCACCACUGUGAAAGACGUACUUUGUAAUCUAUUAAAAUUCUGUCCCUAUUUUCCCUUUUAAAUUCUUCCAUCCACUAGAUACAACGUGGAUGGCACCUCACGCAGACGCACACACACACACUGAUGUACUUAGGCUAUAUUGGUUACAGUUGUUCAUUAAAAUGAACGUAACGUAAUUAUAUUUUUGCAUUAUUUUUUAAAUACCUUUUACUGGUUUUAAUGGUUUUAACAUAAUUCCUAAUUGUUCAAAGUAUUAAGUCAAAUAUCUAGUAGUAGUCAAGACUCCAAUCAAUUGUCUCUCACAAAUAGUCUGACAGAUUCUUUAUCCUGGUUGUUCAUAAUAAUAAUUUUGAAUGUUGUGUGGUUUACACAGUAAAAUAAAUUUCAACCUUUACUGAUUAAA
Molecule: long non-coding RNA, 1567 nt
Organism: Micropterus salmoides (largemouth bass)
Lineage: Eukaryota; Metazoa; Chordata; Actinopteri; Centrarchiformes; Centrarchidae
Exons: 3
Source: RefSeq, a predicted model, not a curated record